This 1527-nucleotide ribosomal RNA is filed under the name uncultured Thermoanaerobacteraceae bacterium. RNAcentral describes it as "bacterial SSU rRNA". It matches the Rfam family "Bacterial small subunit ribosomal RNA". The record is from RNAcentral. Lineage: Bacteria; Bacillati; Bacillota; Clostridia; Thermoanaerobacterales; Thermoanaerobacteraceae.
AGAGUUUGAUCCUGGCUCAGGACGAACGCUGGCGGCGUGCUUAAUACAUGCAAGUCGAGCGGGGUUAUUCGAGAAGCUUGCUUUUUGGAUAACCUAGCGGCGGACGGGUGAGUAACACGUGGGGAAUCUACCCGCAAAACCGGGAUAACUCCGGGAAACCGGGGCUAAUACCGGAUGUGCUUCAUAGGCCACCUGGCCGGUGAAGUAAAGGAGGCCUCUGACAUAAGCUUUCGAUUGCGGAUGAGCCCGCGGCCCAUUAGCUAGUUGGUGAGGUAACGGCCCACCAAGGCGACGAUGGGUAGCCGGCCUGAGAGGGUGGCCGGCCACACUGGGACUGAGACACGGCCCAGACUCCUACGGGAGGCAGCAGUUGGGAAUAUUGGGCAAUGGGCGAAAGCCUGACCCAGCGACGCCGCGUGAGCGAUGAAGGCCUUCGGGUUGUAAAGCUCUGUCUUUGGGGACGAAAGGGCUGGGUAGGAAAUGACCCGGCACUGACGGUACCCGAGGAGGAAGCCCCGGCUAACUACGUGCCAGCAGCCGCGGUAAUACGUAGGGGGCGAGCGUUGUCCGGAAUUAUUGGGCGUAAAGGGCGAGUAGGCGGCGAUCUAAGUUGGAUGUGAAAUGGUCCGGCUCAACUGGAGCAUUGCAUCCAAGACUGGGUUGCUUGAGGGCAGGAGAGGGGAGCGGAAUUCCCGGUGUAGCAGUGAAAUGCGUAGAUAUCGGGAGGAACACCAGUGGCGAAGGCGGCUCUCUGGCCUGUACCUGACGCUGAACCGCGAAAGCUAGGGGAGCGAACGGGAUUAGAUACCCCGGUAGUCCUAGCCGUAAACGAUGGGCACUAGGUGUGGGAGGUAUCGACCCCUUCCGUGCCGGAGUUAACGCAAUAAGUGCCCCGCCUGGGGAGUACGGCCGCAAGGUUGAAACUCAAAGGAAUUGACGGGGGCCCGCACAAGCAGUGGAGCAUGUGGUUUAAUUCGAAGCAACGCGCAGAACCUUACCAGGCCUUGACAUCCUCUGCAAGCCGUAGAGAUACGGUCCCCCGGCUUUGCCGGGCAGAGAGACAGGUGCUGCAUGGUUGUCGUCAGCUCGUGUCGUGAGAUGUUGGGUUAAGUCCCGCAACGAGCGCAACCCCUGUCCUUUGUUGCCAGCACGUAAAGGUGGGCACUCAAAGGAGACUGCCGGUGACAAACCGGAGGAAGGUGGGGAUGACGUCAAAUCCUCAUGGCCUUUAUGGCCUGGGCCACACACGUGCUACAAUGGUCUGUACAGAGGGCCGCGACACCGCGAGGUGGAGCCAAUCCCCCAAAACAGGCCCCAGUUCAGAUCGCAGGCUGCAACUCGCCUGCGUGAAGCCGGAAUUGCUAGUAAUCGCGGAUCAGCACGCCGCGGUGAAUACGUUCCCGGGCCUUGUACACACCGCCCGUCACACCACGAAAGCUGGCAACACCCAAAGUCGGUGAGCUAACCCGCAAGGGAGGCAGCCGCCCAAGGUGGGGUUGGUGAUUGGGGUGAAGUCGUAACAAGGUA